This 249-nucleotide ribosomal RNA is filed under the name uncultured bacterium. Its description in RNAcentral is "partial 16S ribosomal RNA". It matches the Rfam family "Bacterial small subunit ribosomal RNA", at positions 15 to 273 of the family's 1533-position model. The record is from RNAcentral.
GAUCAUGGCUCAGGAUGAACGCUAGCGGCAGGCCUAAUACAUGCAAGUCGAACGGGGUCCUUCGGGCCCGAGUGGCGCACGGGUGCGUAACGCGUAUGCAACCUACCUUCAACUGGGGGAUAGCCCGGAGAAAUCCGGAUUAAUACCGCAUAACACAACUUGAUGGCAUCUGAGGGUUGUUAAAGAUUUAUCGGUUGGAGAUGGGCAUGCGUGCCAUUAGCUAGUUGGUGGGGUAACGGCCCACCAAGG